GAGAGGUUGGUUAUCCAUAGACACGACCACACUCCCCCAAAAUAUCUCUCUCUCUACCAACAGACAAACAUAAAUCUUUCAGAAUUAGUAACGACGACUCACCCUUUGACGUGAUUUCGGAUCGUUAUUUCCGGCGAAUAGAGAUAUGGGUGGCAAAUCAUCGGCGAUGGCAACACAAAUGAUCCGGAUCUGGAAAGAGAGAGAGGGGCCGGUAGGGUGGGUUUCUCCGAUUACGUCUUGAAUCUUUGUUCUUUGUCGGAGUAAAACUGAGAUUCAAUGAAUCACUUUUCUGAUAUUUCUGUGUAGAUGUUCAAAAUAGCUGAUUGGUUGGCGGCCUUUGGAGUUUCGGUUUCAAAGUGAUUAAUUGAGUUUCUAAAUGUAACGGUGGGGGUUAUAUACGGUGUGAAAUGGUGGCAGACGACGGGGGAAGGGCUGUUGAAGGAGACGCAGCGGUUUGGUUAUAACUGUGAAGUCAUCACGGUAAAUGACGGUUAAAGAUGGAAUAGUUAAACGUGGUGGUUGUCGGGAAUUGUUAAUGGGGGGAAAGAAACGGUGGGAACGGUUAAAGUAACUGUGGCGGGACAACAAUUGGUGUCAUUAUGGUUGACAGAAAACGGUGACCCGGUGAAAUGUGGCGGUUUUAAACGUUGAUUACUUCACACGGUGCGUCCCCGUAUUCAUAUUCAUAACGCGUCGGUUUUUUUUUCUUUUUUUCAAACGGUGCGUCGGUAUGGAUUUGUUCUAUUGUUUCCAUUGAUUCCAUAACGUUGUAACCGCUGCUGUAAAGUUCCGACGGGUGUUCUUGUUUUUUAUUGGUUCCAUAACCGUGUGACUAUAACGGUGUGACCACCGCUACAAAUUUCCGACGAUGUGUUCUUUUGUUCUCAAACGUCACUUUUAGAAUGUGGUGCUUUAAUCGUUACAGCCUUUCAUUUUAGAAUGCAGUCUUUAUUUGCCAAUUAUAUAUUCUUAAAUAAUUUUCCAACGGAUGCGAUUUUCUAAGAGACGCGACUAUUAAACAAAAGAGGUAACCCAAGUUACUUUUUGUAUGAUUAUAUAAUUUUUUCCCUAAAUAGGAAAUUUUCACGGUGAGCGAAAAAUUCUCAUAUUGAAUUCGAAUAAAAUCUAUAUUCUAUUACUUAUAUUAAAACAAAACAAUUUUGGCCAUUUGGCAUUCAUUUAGACCACUAAUUGACACCUGGCAUCUUCUCACGCAAUACCAAUUUGAUUUACGCGCUCAACUUUUUCUGCUUUUACACCUGCUUCUUUCCCUUUUUCUUUCAUUAGCCACAUUCACAAACCCUAAUUCUCUCCCCUUUUCUUUCAUACGCCAUUUUCAAUAACAAGUUGGUCACCUGUUCUUCCCAGCAGUUCAGGUAAAGCUUCUACUUGCAAUUCACGAUUAAAGCCUAAAUUGAUGUUUCUCAUGUCCACUUAAACCAGUGUUCCUCUUCAUCGGGUGAAAAGCAUAAAGCUUCAGGUAUUAUUUACACACAUCAAACCCUAACCCUCAACCACCAUUUGCGGCAGAUCCGGCUCGGUGCAGAUCCGGCGCCGUUUGAAGUGUUGAUCACACUUUUGCUUCUUAUUUCACCUUUAUUAUUCGUUUUGAACUCAUAGUCGCUGUCAUAGUCGCUGUCCGUUCAAGUUUCCAACUCAGCGAUUCCGACUCAGCGAAAACAUGUCCGGAAAGGUGGUCUUUGUCACCGGCGCUUCAUCUGGACUCCGUUUAACUUUCCGAUACAGCGAAUGCUUAUUUCCAUUUGAGGGGAAUAUUCCACUGACUUACGUAUUUGUUUGAAGUGGACCCCUACCGGUAAGCGUCUUAUAACUGGUUCACACAGUGGAUAAUUCACAUAAUGGAACGGACAAUCUUUCAAUUUUGAAAUGUUUCGGCAGAUGCUCAUGAUAAGCCAAUCAGAUCUAUGGUAUGGAGUUACAGUGACAAUUGGAUGGUCGCCGGUGAUGAUGGAGGCUGUAUAAAAAAAUGAAACCGGUCAAGCAGGUUGAAACGUCCAAAGUAAUAUUUGAACAUUUCCAAACUUUGAAGAUGAUUUAUUCAACUAACUUAGAUGGCAUAUAUCAACGCUCUUCUCUGCUUUCUGGUAACGUGAUCUGUUUUUCGUAAUUUCAUUCAAUACUUAGUUUUGAAGUGGAUGUGCUUUUGUAUGUUAUGAUUUUGAUGUUGACAGAGUUGUUUGAGAAAGAGCAGGAAGAUCUACCAAGUGAGUUAAAGGACAUACCUAAAAAGGCUUGUGAUCGAAGAGUGAGUUUCGAAUUUCUUGAACUUAUAAAGCUGCAAUUUUGUUACAUUUUUCUCAUUUCCAUUAAGGUCCCAUCUCUUUUCCUUUAAUAAUGAAGAUGCGCCCCACAAUGUGAAUGUAGGGCUACACAAUAACACAAAGCGACACUUCAAGGUAACGAUUUUUAAUGGCUAAGCAUAGUCCACUUUCACUUAGACCUCUACUUUUUCGACAAGACAUCAGUGUGGCUUUGUUAAGAUGCGUGAUGAAAUGUUGUCCAUUUCUGAUAAAUAUAUUAAGUCCAAAUGAAAUACAUACAACAACGGGUCCAUAGCUCAGUGGUAGAGCAAUUGACUGCAGAUCAAUAGGUCACCGGUUCGAACUCGGUUGGGCCCUUAAUUUUUUAUUUUAUUUUUUCUUGAGCUUAAACCCUUUUUGUUUGACGUUAGAGUAGACGGUAUGGGGGUCGUCCUCUACCUGUUGUCCUCCGGCGCCGCACCACCUCCCCACCCCCUCAGGCCCGUCACCGUCUUCAACGGCUUCCUGCAGCCGGUGUCGACCUAAUGUCAAGGUUAUGGUUUUUUUUCGAAGUUUUAAAUAGGUUGAGUGACUUUUUCAUGCAAAAUAAAAAAUUAUGUUGGUUUUCUUAUCGAAGUUUUAAAUUGAAUCUCUUGAUAGUCUUAUAAUUUAAUGUGAAUGACACAAGGAAAAGCUCUUAAUGUUGUUGCUUCACCUAAUGUCAAGGUUAUGGUGGUUGGAAAUCCCUCCAAUACCAAGUAUGGAAAACUAGCUUCUAUAACUUUUGACUUUUGUAAAAGUCAAAGUAUAUUUCCUUUUUGGUUUUUAAUUAUCAUCGGAAUUUGUCAAAUUCAUUUGGAUGAUCGUGUAUUUAUUUAAGUAGAUGUUCAAAUGUGCACAAACAUACUGUUUCUAAAUUGUUUAAAACUCUACCUAAGGUGCCCUCAACUUUCACCCAAAUCCUUUUAUUUCCUUUGAUUGUGAUGGAUGUCUUUCAAAGAAGACAAAGCUAUUGGUCUGGUUGUCUAUUGCAACUUGAUUAAGGCGAGUUGGAUGCACCUCAUUGACCAUUAUGCUUCUGGUAACUAUGACGUAUGCUUAUGAGCCUUUGACUCUUUGAGUCAUUAUAUAUGUUUCUCUUUUUCUUUUUUUUUUCGAUAAAGCAUUCAUACGUAUAAACAUUUAAUAUCUUUUUGAUCAUUUUUGUUCAUCAGCCAACAUGUGACAUGAUUUCCGUCCAGAUUAUAGAGUAUCGUGGUGUCAUAAGCAGAAUUUUCAAAUGUUUCGGUAAUGGCGUUGAUGGCUACUGCGACAGAGUCAGUUCGUAAGGGGAAGUGGAUUUAGGAUAUGGUACCAUUUGAACCCAUUGAAAAUUUGAAAUAGCAACAACCACCAGCAGCAUUGAAAUGUACAAUUUAAAAGGAAGGAUCAAGAGUACUUUUUCUCACUUUUUCUCCAUUGAUAAAGAAAUAUAUAUUAAAUAAUCAUCACCAAGUAACGAUUGAAAUAUUUAGGAUGACAGAGAUUUGCUUUUUGGACAGUUUCGACUAUUGCCAAAAGGUGGGCUUGGGGGCACAAUGGUUUUGUAGUACAAAUGAGUUCAGAAGCUACAAUGUGUUGAUUGCUGCUAUUGAUGCAGUCUGAGUGACAGGAGAUUCUGUUGGAUGUAUUGUUACGUGUAUUGAGAUAAACCUCCCACGUGGGCUUGGUUCACCAGCUUUUUACAAACUUGAAGCUGAGUUGGAUGAAGAUCAUCCAAGAGUGAAGAAGAUCAUCCAAGAGUUCGAUCAUGUGGUCCCGAAUUGUGUCUUUUAACGGAUCACCUGGGUACCGAGUAAAGUCGGCAUUGUUGCGUGGCGUGCCGAAGGAGACAGGUUGCCAACUAUAGUUGCUCUUGCGAAAAGAGGUAUUCCAGUUUUGAGGACUUGAAUGUGUUCUAUGUGCGGAAUUCAAGGAAACGUGUGAGCAUAUUUUUGUGUCGUGCCAGUUCUCACAUGUGGUAUGGCAACUUAUUGGUCAAUGGUGCAAAACUAAUUCACUGUAUGUUUUCAGUUUUGACCUGCACAAAUUGGUCCUAUUAGGUAAAAGGAGGCAAAACUCUUUUCAUGUUAUUUCCUUAGUUACGAUUUAGAGCAUAUAGAGGCAUAGAAAUUAAUUGGCCUUUUGACAAAAGGCGGUGUUCGUUUCAAAUGUAAUUGAUGAGAUUAAUUUUAUGAGUUUUCUUUGGGUCAGGAAUCGUGCAAAAGAGUGUGAUUACGUGGGAGAGGUGGAAGUCAUUUGAUGUGUUUUGGUUACUUCUAUUUAUUUAUUUAUUUUUUUGCA
Helianthus annuus (common sunflower) is the source of this 4583-nucleotide long non-coding RNA. RefSeq lists it as uncharacterized. The transcript has 7 exons. Lineage: Eukaryota; Viridiplantae; Streptophyta; Magnoliopsida; Asterales; Asteraceae. The record is from RefSeq and is a predicted model, not a curated record.